UGGGGAAUAUUGGACAAUGGGCGCAAGCCUGAUCCAGCCAUACCGCGUGGGUGAAGAAGGCCUUCGGGUUGUAAAGCCCUUUUGUUGGGAAAGAAAAGCAUUCGGUUAAUACCCGAUUGUUCUGACGGUACCCAAAGAAUAAGCACCGGCUAACUUCGUGCCAGCAGCCGCGGUAAUACGAAGGGUGCAAGCGUUACUCGGAAUUACUGGGCGUAAAGCGUGCGUAGGUGGUUGUUUAAGUCUGUCGUGAAAGCCCUGGGCUCAACCUGGGAAUUGCGAUGGAAACUGGGCGACUAGAGUGUGGCAGAGGGUAGUGGAAUUCCUGGUGUAGCAGUGAAAUGCGUAGAGAUCAGGAGGAACAUCCGUGGCGAAGGCGACUGCCUGGGCCAACACUGACACUGAGGCACGAAAAGCGUGGGGAGCAAAACAGGAUUAGAUACCCUGGUAGUCCACGCCCUAAAACGAUGCGAACUGGAUGUUGGGUGCAAUUUGGCACGCAGUAUCGAAGCUAACGCGUUAAGUUCGCCGCCUGGGGAGUACGGUCGCAAGACUG
RNAcentral lists this ribosomal RNA (553 nucleotides) under uncultured bacterium. RNAcentral describes it as "partial 16S ribosomal RNA". It matches the Rfam family "Bacterial small subunit ribosomal RNA", at positions 355 to 896 of the family's 1533-position model. The record is from RNAcentral.